AAGCAAAGGGGUAGCUGCAAAGUUCUGGAUAAGACCUCUGCAGGCAACUGGAAGCACAGUGUACCCAGGGAAUCAAAGGACUGUUAAAGCUCUGAUGUAUGAGCUGCUUGGGCACUGUGAGAUGUUUUAAGAUUAUUCAACAAGGAAAUGACAGUGAACUAGACUCCAACAACUUGUGAAAUUUAAUGAAUCUAUUCAACUAGUGUCAGCUGCAUCAAUAAAUAAUUUAAUGAGAAAUCGUCA
Molecule: long non-coding RNA, 243 nt
Filed under: Sus scrofa (pig)
Lineage: Eukaryota; Metazoa; Chordata; Mammalia; Artiodactyla; Suidae
Description: lncRNA (ENSSSCG00055021947.1, ENSSSCG00070006045.1)
Source: RNAcentral